Molecule: ribosomal RNA, 253 nt
Filed under: uncultured bacterium
Lineage: Bacteria
Description: partial 16S ribosomal RNA
Rfam family: Bacterial small subunit ribosomal RNA
Source: RNAcentral
UACGUAGGGUGCAAGCGUUAAUCGGAUUCACUGGGCGUAAAGGGUGCGCAGGCGGUUGUGUGUGUCAGGUGUGAAAGCCCGGGGCUUAACCCCGGAAUUGCGCCUGAAACUACAUGACUAGAGCAUUGGAGAGGGUAGCGGAAUUCACGGUGUAGCAGUGAAAUGCGUAGAUAUCGUGAGGAACACCAGAGGCGAAGGCGGCUACCUGGACAAUUGCUGACGCUCAGGCACGAAAGCGUGGGGAGCAAAAGGG